CAGCACCUCAAGUGGUCAGGAUGAUUAUUGGGCCUAAAGCAUCCGUAGCCUGCUUUGUUAGUUUUCGGUUAAAUCCAUACGCUCAACGUAUGGGCUGCCGGGAAUACUGCAAAGCUAGGGAGUGGGAGAGGUGGACGGUACUCGGUAGGAAGGGGUAAAAUCCUUUGAUCUAUUGAUGACCACCUGUGGCGAAGGCGGUCUACCAGAACACGUCCGACGGUGAGGGAUGAAAGCUGGGGGAGCAAACCGGAUUAGAUACCCGCGUAGUCC
RNAcentral lists this ribosomal RNA (270 nucleotides) under uncultured archaeon. RNAcentral describes it as "partial 16S ribosomal RNA". It matches the Rfam family "Archaeal small subunit ribosomal RNA", at positions 477 to 747 of the family's 1478-position model. The record is from RNAcentral.